Molecule: ribosomal RNA, 253 nt
Filed under: uncultured bacterium
Lineage: Bacteria
Description: partial 16S ribosomal RNA
Rfam family: Bacterial small subunit ribosomal RNA
Source: RNAcentral
UACGUAGGGUGCGAGCGUUAAUCGGAAUUACUGGGCGUAAAGCGUGCGCAGGCGGUUUUGUAAGCCCGUUGUGAAAGCCCCGGGCUUAACCUGGGAACUGCAUUUGGGACUGCAAGGCUUGAGUACGGCAGAGGGGGGUAGAAUUCCUGGUGUAGCAGUGAAAUGCGUAGAUAUCAGGAGGAAUACCGAUGGCGAAGGCAGCCCCCUGGGUCGAUACUGACGCUCAUGCACGAAAGCGUGGGGAGCAAACAGG